UAGGGAAUCUUCCGCAAUGGACGCAAGUCUGCCGGAGCAACGCCGCGUGAGUGAAGAAGGAUUUCGGUUCGUAAAACUCUGUUGUUAGAGAAGAACAGCGCAUAGAGUAACUGUUAUGCGUGUGACGGUAUCUAACCAGAAAGCCACGGCUAACUACGUGCCAGCAGCCGCGGUAAUACGUAGGUGGCAAGCGUUGUCCGGAUUUAUUGGGCGUAAAGCGAGCGCAGGCGGUCAAUCAAGUCUGAUGUGAAAGCCCCCGGCUCAACCGGGGGGGGUCAUUGGAAACUGGUUGAGUGGGGUGCAGAAGAGGAGAGUGGAAUUCCAUGUGUAGCGGUGAAAUGCGUAGAUAUAUGGAGGAACACCAGUGGCGAAGGCGACUCUCUGAUCUGUAACUGACGCUGAGGCUCGAAAGCGUGGGUAGCAAACAGG
RNAcentral lists this ribosomal RNA (429 nucleotides) under Bacteroidota bacterium. Its description in RNAcentral is "Bacteroidetes bacterium partial 16S ribosomal RNA". It matches the Rfam family "Bacterial small subunit ribosomal RNA", at positions 355 to 776 of the family's 1533-position model. Lineage: Bacteria; Pseudomonadati; Bacteroidota. The record is from RNAcentral.